GCGGGUGUGGUCUAGUGGUAUGACACGGCCCUUCCAAGGCUGUGACGGGAGUUCGAUUCUCCCCACCCGCACAA
Molecule: transfer RNA, 74 nt
Filed under: Candidatus Kaiserbacteria bacterium
Lineage: Bacteria; Candidatus Kaiseribacteriota
Description: tRNA-Gly
Rfam family: tRNA
About the family: Transfer RNA (tRNA) molecules are approximately 80 nucleotides in length. Their secondary structure includes four short double-helical elements and three loops (D, anti-codon, and T loops).
Source: RNAcentral